CUUGCAUUUGUGAGGACAGGAGCAUAAACUAUGACCUAGGGGCUUCUGUUUGAUGCUAGCAAC
Molecule: non-coding RNA, 63 nt
Organism: Struthio camelus australis
Lineage: Eukaryota; Metazoa; Chordata; Aves; Struthioniformes; Struthionidae
Source: Rfam